AGCAGCCGCGGUAAUUCCAGCUCCAAUAGCGUAUAUUAAAGUUGUUGCAGUUAAAAAGCUCGUAGUUGAAUUUCGGGAUCAAUGUUUCGGUCAUGCCCUUGGUAUGUACUGAUAUUAUUGGUUUCUCACCUUCUAAAGAACCGUAAUGCCAUUAAUUUGGUGUCACGGGGAAUUAGGACUGUUACCUUGAAAAAAUUAGAGUGUUUAAAGCAGGCUCACGCUUGAAUACAUUGGCAUGGAAUAAUGAAAUAGGACAUCCGAUUCUAUUUUGUUGGUUUCUAGGAUCGAUGUAAUGAUUAAUAGGGAUAGUUGGGGGCAUUAGUAUUCAAUUGUCAGAGGUGAAAUUCUUGGAUUUAUUGAAGACUAACUACUGCGAAAGCAUUUGCCAAGGAUGUUUUCAUUAAUCAAGAACGAAAGUUAGGGGAUCGAAGACGAUCAGAUACCGUCGUAGUCUUAACCAUAAACUAUGCCGACUAGGGAUCGGAUGAUGUUAAUGUUUUAAUGACUCA
This 509-nucleotide ribosomal RNA is filed under the name uncultured glomeraceous AM fungus. RNAcentral describes it as "SSU rRNA". It matches the Rfam family "Eukaryotic small subunit ribosomal RNA", at positions 569 to 1078 of the family's 1831-position model. The record is from RNAcentral. Lineage: Eukaryota; Fungi; Glomeromycota; Glomeromycetes; Glomerales; Glomeraceae.